Lucilia sericata (common green bottle fly) is the source of this 1889-nucleotide long non-coding RNA. RefSeq lists it as uncharacterized. The record is from RefSeq and is a predicted model, not a curated record. Lineage: Eukaryota; Metazoa; Arthropoda; Insecta; Diptera; Calliphoridae. The transcript is spliced from 2 exons.
UUUAAUAUUUUCAGGUGGUGUUUCCGAAUUUUGCUUAUAUCACCGUUAAUGAUUGUUGUAGUUGUAACAGUACGACUGUGGCUGAUAGUUCUUUCCUGGGGAAAAACCAUUUGAUGCAGCUGUCGCUGAGUUGACAAUCUUUGGCCGACGCGGGUCGUUCCGGAAUGAAGAUCCAAUUGUUUCGAACUCUUUUUUAAUAGAAUUAUUCAAGAUUCAAAUCUCGUAAAUAUUUGAUAUCAUUUGAAAACUGAUUUCAACAUACAUAUGUAAACACAAACAUGUCCAUGUUGAAUCGACUAAAUCGAUUUCAACAUUAUUUUUAAAUCCUUCCGAUUCGAAAAAUGUUCAUAUGUCCUUAAUUUACUCCCCCUUUAAUUAUUUGUAUCGCAACAUUGCCACAUUGAUUAAAAUGCAACUCUUCAACUAUCAGAAUAACGAUCCCUGCUCUAUUUGUCAAAGUAGUUUUUUUCUCUCUUAUAAAUAAAAAGUACCGUUAUAUUUUACAAGUGCAAAAAAGUGUAUUUUUAUUAAUCAUUUUUAUAAUUAAAGAAUAUUUUACACAAUUUACUUCAAAUAACAAAAAAUAUAUCAAAUUUUAACUCAAACAUUUCUAAACGAUGGCAGAAUUUGAAUUUUCAUUUACUUUCGAUGAGGGCAACUAUGAAAAUGAUUUCAGUGGUGAUCUAUAUGAUUUUGAAAACAUGUGGCAAGAUAUCGCUGAAGAGUUGCGACAAAAAGAUGAAAACGAUCAAUUUCAACAAAUGUUUCAUCAAAAGUUACACAUUGACCCAAACUAUGAAAAGGUCUGCCAUCAAAGAGAACGUUAUAUUUGAAGCGAUUUAUUUAUCUUACAAGUUUUUUUUAUAUCUUUUUUGUUAUUUUUUUUUAUUUAUUUUAUUUAAAUAACUUUUGCCUAACUAUGACUAUUAUUUUAUUUUAUUUAAAAUGUUGUUUAUAGUUUUAUAUUUAUGUUUUUUUCUAAGAAAUAUUUUAAAAGACUUCAACUGGUUUGAAUGUUAAUUAUUUUUAUUUUAAAGAAUUUAAAUUUUCACUUUAUUGUGAUAAAAUAUUUAAUUCGUUAUUUUAUUGUAAAUAUUUGAUAAUCGUUUUAUUGCUUUUUUUUGCAAAACAAACUGUUAUCGUUUAAUUAAUUGUUGAAAAAUAAUUAUUUUAUUAUUAAUAUUCUUUUAAAAAUUAACGUUUUAACUGUUUCAACUCUCAAAUAUGAGACAAUUUUAAAUAUUUUAUAUUUAUGUUUUAUUUAUUUAAAAAACAUAUUAUUCUUUGAAGUUUUGUUUAUUGGCUAAUUUCAAAAUUGUAUUUGGCUAAAUGUAUUUUUAAAUGUAUGCAAUUAUGUAUUCUUAAUUGUUUUAAAACAUUCUUUUAAUAACAAAACAAAUUUUUUAUAUAAUUUUAUUUGUAUUAACAAGUUUUUAACUAAAACUAAAAAGGUUCGAUUUCAUCUAAAAAAUUUCAUGUAAUAAAAGUAAAACCAUGAAACAUUUCAGAACAAAUUCAUGGAAUUUCAUAACAAAACAAAACUUUAUUUUAAACAUAUUCAUCAUAUUGAUGAUGCCGGCCAAUAAUCCAUAUUUCUUGUAUUUAUUAGAUAAUUCUAUAUCUUGAAAUUCAAAGUUCAAAAUGAUCUAUUUCGUGUUUUGACUUUUUAUUUAAAAGUUAUUCUAAACAUAAACGUCUUUCAUCCUAUAUCGUGGUAUAUAUGUAUGUAUCUUGUUAUAUAUUAUUUGCAAUUAUUUUGUAUAUAUGAAAUCGAACUUAAUUUCAAUCUUAAGUUAAAUUUAAUGUUAACUUUUGACUUUGAUUAUAUAAGAAAGCUUGUAAAUUUUUAAUAUUUUAAAUAAAUGCCUUUUUAAACUAUUUUUUUAAAA